RNAcentral lists this ribosomal RNA (415 nucleotides) under uncultured microorganism. RNAcentral describes it as "bacterial SSU rRNA". It matches the Rfam family "Archaeal small subunit ribosomal RNA", at positions 330 to 745 of the family's 1478-position model. The record is from RNAcentral.
GUGCAGCAGGCGAGAAUACUUUACAAUGCGGGAAACCGCGAUAAGGGGACACCGAGUGCCAGCAUAUUAUGUUGGCUGUCCACAUGUGUAAACGGCAUGUGUUAGCAAGGGCCGGGCAAGACCGGUGCCAGCCGCCGCGGUAACACCGGCGGCCCGAGUGGUAAUCACUUUUAUUGGGUCUAAAGGGUCCGUAGCCGGUUUGAUCAGUUCUUCGGGAAAUCUGACAGCUCAACUGUUAGGCUUCCGGGGAAUACUGUCAGACUUGGGACCGGGAGAGGUAAGAGGUACUACAGGGGUAGGAGUGAAAUCUUGUAAUCCCUGUGGGACCACCAGUGGCGAAGGCGUCUUACCAGAACGGGUCCGACGGUGAGGGACGAAAGCUGGGGGCACGAACCGGAUUAGAUACCCCGGUAGU